AGGCAAGGGUGUCUAUAAUAAAAGUGACGCAAAUUGCAUUGAAAGUUGGCAAUAUAAAUUUUCUUCGCGACUCUGCCUGCCUAUCAAAUUCCUCCUUGUUUUGAUUAUGGCUUCGAACAAAAAAUCGCGACAAU
Molecule: small nucleolar RNA, 134 nt
Organism: Quercus robur (English oak)
Lineage: Eukaryota; Viridiplantae; Streptophyta; Magnoliopsida; Fagales; Fagaceae
Source: RefSeq, a predicted model, not a curated record